GUUUGAUCAUGGCUCAGGACGAACGCUGGCGGCGUGCCUAAAACAUGCAAGUCGAACGAGGGAGCAAUCCCUAGUGGCGAACGGCGGAGUAAUACAUGAACAACGUGCCCUGAAGUCCGGGACAAACGCAGAAAUGCCAUAAAUACCGGAUGUGGCCCCCACCUGGCAUCAGGAGGGGAUUAAACGGUUUUUCGCUUCAGGAGCGGUUCAUGGCCUAUCAGGUAGUUGGUGGGGUAAUGGCCUACCAAGCCGACGACAGGUAGCGGGUCUGAGAGGAUGAUCCGCUCGAGUGGGACUGAGACACGGCCCACACACCUACGGGUGGCAGCAGUUGGGAAUCUUGCACAAUGGGGGAAACCCUGAUGCAGCGACGCCGCGUGGAGGAUGACGGAUCUAGGUCUGUAAACUCCUUUUUCAUGGAAAGACUUAGGACGGUACCAUGAGAAUAAGGACCGGCUAACUACGUGCCAGCAGCCGCGGUAAGACGUAGGGUCCAAGCGUUGUCCGGAUUUACUGGGCGUAAAGAGCGCGUAGGCGGCUUGUUAAGUGUGAAGUGAAAUCUCCAGGGCUCAACCCGGAAACUGCUUCGCAUGCUGGCAAGCUUGAGGAAUGCAGAGGUCUGUGGAAUUCCUGGUGUAACGGUGAAAUGUGUUGAUAUCAGGAGGAACACCAGUGGCGAAAGCGGCCUUCUGGACCGUUUCUGACGCUAAGAUGCGAAAGCUAGGGGAGCGAACGGGAUUAGAAACCCCGGUAGUCCUAGCCGUAAACGAUGUAGACUGGGCGUCGGUGGGGUAAAAGCCAUCGGUGCCGAAGCUAACGCGAUAAGUCUACCGCCUGGGGACUACGGCCGCAAGGUUAAAACUCAAAGGAAUUGACGG
RNAcentral lists this ribosomal RNA (878 nucleotides) under uncultured bacterium. Its description in RNAcentral is "bacterial SSU rRNA". It matches the Rfam family "Bacterial small subunit ribosomal RNA", at positions 11 to 916 of the family's 1533-position model. The record is from RNAcentral.